Molecule: long non-coding RNA, 654 nt
Filed under: Phoenix dactylifera (date palm)
Lineage: Eukaryota; Viridiplantae; Streptophyta; Magnoliopsida; Arecales; Arecaceae
Description: long non-coding RNA (PDAC_LNC019924)
Source: RNAcentral
AUCGUACAAAAAUAGCCAAACAAACCUCAAAAAUACCAGGGCAUGAGAUGAAUGGGUUGGAUCAGGCUGUUCAAGGUGAUCUUACUCGUGGCAUGGGAUGCAUCCACAAGCCAUUGUACCCUCAAAAGAUGGUUUUAUCCAUCUGAUAAAGAUGCUAUCCAUCACUGGUCCUUUUCUCUGGUCCCUACGGGAGCGCUUGGGUGUCAAGUCUGGGCCCGGGGGUGUUAGGCUCGAGCCCAACCCGACUCUCGGCAUGCUUUUCAUCUAAAGUGCUAGACCAAGUUUAGUACGGGGCCCUUCGUUCGUUAAAUUAUCAGCCCGUCCUGGCCCAAAAACCUGAGCUAGAGCGUGGUUGGGUCUUGGGACCGUUUGGGUCGGCCCAACCCACCGACAACCCUACUUGAUGACGUCAAAGCGAUGCAUGUUUUCCGAACUUUAUAAUAAAGUUAUUUCUGGCUAUAUAUAACUCAGGAGACUGAUUCAGAUGAUCCGAUCGAUGGAUUUCAUGUGGGAUGUUACAUGAUCAGAUGAAGCGGACGGAUUACUUCCAUUUUAGUGGUAGGCUGAAUCUUCCAAAGGUUUUAAUUUGAACUUAUGUAGUAGAUCCUAGUUGUAUUUGUUGGCAGGAGCGGCCUAAUAUAUUUAAAGGCCUAA